Long non-coding RNA from Haplochromis burtoni (Burton's mouthbrooder), 3387 nucleotides. RefSeq lists it as uncharacterized. NCBI's taxonomy places the organism in Eukaryota, Metazoa, Chordata, Actinopteri, Cichliformes, Cichlidae. The record is from RefSeq and is a predicted model, not a curated record. The transcript is spliced from 5 exons.
CUUCACGGUGACCUAGCGUUCAUCUCUUGUCAGCGUCUCUCCUGUUUUUACAGUCUAAACAGUGUUUGAAUGGAAGCAGAUACAGUGAGAGAGGUGUGUGUUUGGGAGAUAUUAACGCUGUAAUGAAAGACAGAUGCUGUAACUCUCUGUCCUCCCAAAGUUACACACAAACACAUAAAUAAGGCUAUUUAGUCUCUUCUUUUAGUUCAAAAUAACACACACACACACACACAAUGGCCUCCUCCUAAGAAACAGAUCCACUGCUUUGGCUGCUAAAUAGUUUACUGUGUUUACGUCUUACUGCUGUAGGAAAGGAAGUUUUAAUGAGGCCAGUGCGAGCUGUAAAUGUUUUCCUUCGGUCUGUUCCCACAGGCUGCAGACAAGCUUGCUGGGUUUCUACAGUGGUGUCGAGCUUCUUCUGCCAUGGCCCACUUUGGAAUCUGAAGAAAAAGUUUUAUCCCUUUUUAAUGAUUAUGAUUUUCAAAAACACAUUUGAAUUUUACCUGAACAACAGUCGGGUUAGAGCUGCAACAUCCCACCUACAGUGACUCAGUCUGAGAACAACAGAAUGAAGUGAUGAUCCUAAAAUGGCCUUUGCUGGGUGGGAGUAUUUAUGUGUCUCUCUUUGUCUUCACCCCUGUGAUAUAUUGGUGAGUUAACCCAGGUGUGUCCUGUCUGUGCAGGGAUAGGCUCCAGCUCCACUUCAUUCUGACCAAAGCGAUUAAGAAAAAAGGAUGAAUUUAGUAGGCAAAUAAAGAUACCCACUGUGCCACAGUAACCAUGGUGUAGCUAGUGGGCAGUGGAAGGAAAGUGCAGGAUUAGGCAUGUCCAUUCAAGAAAAUCAGUCAUCUCUAAGAGCUUACCAUCUAAGGUAAGACCUGGACACUGUUGGUGGGUAGCUUGGUGACAUCAUCCAUGAUACUCAGUUAUACACAGUUUAUUUAUUGUCAGUGUGUUGGUGUGAUGGACACAGGGAUUAUGAUGGUCACAGGAAUUAUUAGAAAAACCAGGGUUUCCAUUUAACCCCCAAAAAUUAUAUUUACAAAAAUAACAAACGUUGAGCUCAUAAAAGAGGUCAAAGAAACAACUCUAAACUCAGCCCAAACAAACAUAACUGACCUAAACAGGAAAUGACACACAAGGGUUUAUAUAAUGGCUGAUCAGACCACUAUGACACAUGAGGGGUAACUACAUAAAACGCAAUCAUAAACCACAAAAAUUAUGCAGUACAGCCUGGUUUGUUUAUAAAGUCAACACCAAAGAAGAAAGUCAAAAUCACUGAACCCUAAACUCAAAUAUGUAAUCAAAUACAAAAGCUUUUUUUUAACAUUGUCUCCUUCAGCAGGAAGUGGUGGUGCGGUCCAAUUAUCCCUCUUUGUAUUUAAGGGCUUUAAACCCUGGCCUCCACCUUUUGUCUGGUAACUCUCAGGGAUCAUGGCAGGUAAGCAGCAAGUAAAAGAAACAAAGCUUAGUCAAACAAAGUAAUGAACUGGUAUAAAUACAUAACCUAAAUGUGCACGCUUACAAAAAGAGCAAAUGUAUCCAAACCAAUCAAUAAACUUAUUGGAAACUAAAGUGUGUUCUUGUGUUCAAAUGAAGAAAUGAAAAUACAAGAGUUACCGACUUUCGAGUGUGGCCGUGGGUUUGGCCAUCACAGUUGGCAAAUUGAAGCUUUGGUGUGAAAGCACAAGCUGCCAGCAGCACUGCAGUUAGAUGAACGGUGUCAUUAAUAAAAGUGUUGAUCAUCCUGCACCCUGACACUCCUUUCUGUCUCAGGCUGUCCUCCACUCAAAAUGUUAACAGCUCCUGUUGUGUUGGCUCCCCUAAGAAGUACCAGCUCUGUUCAAAGCAGCCGUGUCCCAGCACCAGUGUUAGCUUCAAGCAGCACCAGUGUUCCCAGUUCAACUCUAAAGCCUUUGGAAGGAGAUACUAUCAGUGGAUACCCCUGUACCCAGCCGAUUACAUCAGCAUCUCCAAUAGACCAUGUGACCUGCAGUGUACCACCAUCAGUGGUGAGCGACAGCUGCUGGUUCCUGCCCACGAUGGCACCUCCUGUCGGGAUACUAAAAACCAUGGAGUGUGUAUCGAGGGGAUGUGUCAGCCUGUGGGGUGUGAUGGGGAGCUGUACAGCAGUAAGACUGUAGACAGAUGUGGUGUGUGCGGAGGAAACGGGACAUCGUGCCAGCGGAUCUCUGGAUCCUACAGGAUGGCACUCACACAGUUAGACAGCUCAAGGAAACCAUUAUCUUUACAACCACCUCAGCGAAAUCCACUGCACGGUGUCCUGUAAACAUGUGUCGUCAUAGAAGCCUGAAACCGGGGUGGAUGACUCCAUGAUGUCUUCACCCCCUUCUGCUGGUUUGUUACUACGCUGCCCGCCAGCAGGCUGCCCGCCAGCAGGACUCUCGAAGCGAGGGAAGCUUUUUCAACAUAUUUUUUAAUGCCUUGAUUUUGCCUGCAAGGAGCCAGACUUUGUAAUCUUUUUUUUAAAAAUUGGUCUUGAACAUUAAUGUUCUUGAAUUUAUGAGUUUUUAUUUGGACACGGGAAUGUUUUUCAGUCAGUUAAGUAACUUUACAUUGAUCCGACAUCAUUCUGUUUUUACACAUAACAGAAAACUUAGCAAAGAAGACAUUUUAAAUUGCAUCUGUAGGCAAUUUAUUGCUAGCAACACAUACACCAGUUUGUUCUUAGUUGGACCAAUGAAAAAUGUUGUUUGACAGCAUGGUUUUGUACCAACACGGCUUCCCAAAGAGAUAUUGCCAUGAAACUUGGCAUAUUGCAACAUGGUGUAAAGUACGUUCUUAAAACAUCAGAAGAAACAGGAGAAGUUAAGGACAAAAGAAGUGGCACACCUGAAAUUCUACAGCAGAUGAACAGUUAUGUCCUUCAGUAAUAAGGAAAAUAUCCAGCAAAGACCUGACAGGAUCUGAGAAAUGCAUCUGACCCUUCGGCUGAUUCAUUUACUUUCCACAGAAGCCUCAUUAGACGUGCUCUGAAUGGAAGGACGGCUGUCAAGAAGCCACUGUUAAGGAACAGAAAGAGGGAGAACAGGCUGAAGUAUGCCACAUUAGAACUGGACUGGAAAUCGCAGGCAACGUAACUCUUAUGGAGUGAUGGAUCCAAACGGACUGGAUCUAAUCAGGAGUCCAACUGUCUACAGCCAUGUUUCAAAGAUGUUGGAGGCAGACGUCGACGCAUGGUGUAAUCCCAUCGUGUGAUGCAGUACCAGUGCAUUAAAAACAUACUUAGAUGGGUUAGCCUUCGCCAGAGAUCUGUCCUCACCAGACUCAGUCCUCGUAUUCACAGAAAUGUGUUCCUGCUGAUAAACUCUUGGAGUGUUUUUUCUUUCCAAUUGUGUUGCAGUUUAGUGACAAGUUUGUUUUUGU